This 274-nucleotide ribosomal RNA is filed under the name uncultured bacterium. Its description in RNAcentral is "partial 16S ribosomal RNA". It matches the Rfam family "Archaeal small subunit ribosomal RNA", at positions 473 to 747 of the family's 1478-position model. The record is from RNAcentral.
AAACCAGCACCUCAAGUGGUCAGGAUGAUUAUUGGGCCUAAAGCAUCCGUAGCCUGCUUUGUAAGUUUUCGGUUAAAUCCAUAUGCUCAACAUAUGGGCUGCCGGGAAUACUGCACAGCUAGGGAGUGGGAGAGGUAGACGGUACUCCAUAGGAAGGGGUAAAAUCCUUUGAUCUAUGGAAGACCACCUGUGGCGAAGGCGGUCUACCAGAACACGUUCGACGGUGAGGGAUGAAAGCUGGGGGAGCAAACCGGAUUAGAAACCCCGGUAGUCC